RNAcentral lists this ribosomal RNA (429 nucleotides) under Chloroflexota bacterium. Its description in RNAcentral is "Chloroflexi bacterium partial 16S ribosomal RNA". It matches the Rfam family "Bacterial small subunit ribosomal RNA", at positions 355 to 776 of the family's 1533-position model. The record is from RNAcentral. Lineage: Bacteria; Bacillati; Chloroflexota.
UGGGGAAUAUUGCACAAUGGGCGCAAGCCUGAUGCAGCCAUGCCGCGUGUAUGAAGAAGGCCUUCGGGUUGUAAAGUACUUUCAGUCGGGAGGAAGGUGGUAAGGUUAAUAACCUUAUCAAUUGACGUUACCGACAGAAGAAGCACCGGCUAACUCCGUGCCAGCAGCCGCGGUAAUACGGAGGGUGCAAGCGUUAAUCGGAAUUACUGGGCGUAAAGCGCACGCAGGCGGUUGAUUGAGUCAGAUGUGAAAUCCCCGGGCUUAACCCGGGAAGUGCAUCUGAUACUGGUCAGCUAGAGUCUUGUAGCGGGAGGUGGAAUUCCAUGUGUAGCGGUGAAAUGCGUAGAGAUGUGGAAGAAUACCGGUGGCGAAGGCGGCCCCCUGGACAAAGACUGACACUCAGGUGCGAAAGCGUGGGGAGCGAACAGG